Long non-coding RNA from Tympanuchus pallidicinctus (lesser prairie-chicken), 2973 nucleotides. RefSeq lists it as uncharacterized. The record is from RefSeq and is a predicted model, not a curated record. The transcript has 3 exons. NCBI's taxonomy places the organism in Eukaryota, Metazoa, Chordata, Aves, Galliformes, Phasianidae.
UGACAGGAAAUCUCUGAAUCUCUUCUUCUAUACAUUAAACUUGGGGUUCACUUUUCUAGAGGACCACAAGUUGUUUUGUCAAAGCAGAUGUUGUCUUUUGCACGUGAUUGACCACUUAAUGACUCCGACUCAGCAAGAGAUUAUCCCUGGAUUGCUGCAUCUUCAGGAACUAUGAACUGAUGCCAAUGGGGCCUACAUCUCCGAAUGUGCCAUGGAGCUUGCUUUUUCAGCACCAGCCCUGUGAAACUAACACAGAACAGGAUUACAGAGCUGAGCAAGUGAGGAAGGAGUCAGAGCACUGGACUCUCCAUUUACCAGCACCACAAAGAUGAUAAAACUCUACAGAAACCAGAGCCACUGUGGUUUCUGACUACCAUGUCAUUUUCUGAGCGGUAAUCCCAACCCAACUAGAAACCCUUGAUGGCAUGCCUGUGGUUUUCACAAAGAGCUGCCCCCCAUCCCAAGAGAUGUGUGCCCUGCAGGCCUGCGGCUGGCCACAUGAGAUGCAGCAUGCUUAGCACCUGGUGCUGCUGGUGGCUGUCACCCCUCUAACUUCUCCCAGGGAGGCAUCCAAGGAGUCUCUCUCACACAUAUUGAUCAACCACAGGCACGAGAUAACCAAAAAUGCAAAUAUUGCCCCAGUGUGGUCUUAAGUCAAUAUUUUGAGCUGCUGCCUGGCCUGUUUGAUGACAGCCAGAGGUUGGAGGUCACCUACCUGUUGAUGGUGGCACUGGGAGCACAGGAGGCAGGGUCAGCAAUCAUCCAUGCUACUGUUCAACUAGGUUUGUUUGCUGAUCGAGUCUGUCAGCUACAAAACUCAUUCCGGUCUCUCCUCUGGGAGCUUUCUGCUGAUACAGAAAGAAGGGACGUAGAAAAACCCAGUUCUUCUUACCAACAGCUCCUAUCUUUAGUUCUUCUGAAAUGUCUUUUGACCUUCUUGAAAACUUCUGGGAGAUAAUGGGAAUAAAUCCAGAGGGUUUGUCACUGAACCCAAAAGGUAGUAGGAUUUGGUGGUAAACAGUACAGCUUGUGUCCACUACAUCGGAGAGAGAGGCUAUUUGUGUAAAGCUUUGCAAAGUCUGUGCUGCUGCUCUGCUCCGCAAAGGAAGCCUGGCAUCUAGUGGACGUUUUGCUGUUGCAUCACUUUCACCUUUUUGCUUAGCAGAGCUGACAGCUAGCUACCUAUAUAAAACCUAUACAGAAUUGAGCACCGAUGUCCAAUUCAUGCACACGACUGCAAGUUGUUGUGAGGUGACAAAGUCCAAACUAUUGUUAAAUGUUCGUUCUGAGUCUUUCAUCUGUCUGGCUGCCACUUGGAAAAAUACAUUGGAGCUGCUAUUUUAAGUAGCUCUUCUAUGGGACUUGCUUUUCUGCAGUACAUUGUUUUCCAUGUUUUGUUUUGUUUUGUUCUGUUCUGUUUCCCCACACUGAAUACAAACCUGUGGGGGGAAAAAUCUUAUUUACAACGAAAUUGGUCUGAAUACCUACUCAGAAUGAGAGAAUACAAGAUAGAGUACAGAUAGAAGGUACCAUGGCAAGAACUCACAUCAGUAAGUGUCAAAUACAUUUUUGUGUUUUCAUUAGUUGUUCCAUCAAGAUGCAAGCAAUGUUGAAUUUCUUCUUUCCUUAAAUUUUGAAUUUAACGUGAGCAUUCAGACUACUUCUCUUAAGCACACAUUUAAGUUUCUCUUCCUUCUCUUUCAUGUUAUUCUGAGCUUAAUGGAAGCCAAGUUGUAAGUUAUAACUGCUGUGUGGCACAGUUGCUUUUUUUUUUUUUUUUUUUUUUUUUGAUCUGUUGCUUUCAUUUAGAGCAAUAUUUUGCUGUUAUUAUUCAUGCUAAGUUAUGCAUUACUAUGUACUUAGUCCAAUUAAAAGUAAUGGGAUUAAUUCUGGAAUAAGAUAAUAUGCAGUAUUAACAGAAGGAGAGGACAUGAUCCAUGUGAUUAAAUUAUUUUAUGCUUAUGAAUUAAGUACAAUUCCACAGCAUUUUUAAUGUAUUUCAGAAAAAAAGCUUAAAUUCAUAGUUUUCUCAAAAACGAAUUCAUUCUGAUUACUAUUUCAAUAGAUGGAUCUAAGUCUCUGAAAAAUCAUAGGGAACAAAAAAGUUUUAAACCUGCUAUUCGCUAAGCCUGGCACAAGCCCUCAUUGGCACUUUUCUCCCCCUGGUGGACAUGAGCUCUGCUUGGUUUUUGAAUCAGCCAGCAUCCUUAUCCUGCUUAUGUGUUGGACGACCUGAGUUCUGCAGGAAAUGAAAACCAAUAGUGGACAAAAAUGUAGCACAGAAGUCGUUUUUUACUACAGAUAGCAGUGGUGAGCUAUCACUCUAGAUUGGCUCUGAAGAAAUUAAUGGAACAGUAAUGAGACACUUGACAGGCAGAUGAUAUAACUUGUAUUGUUUUGGUAGGAAAUUUUGACAUGAGUAGAUUGUUUAACCAAAUAUCCAUAGAAAAGACAAAGGCCUAGGAAUAGGCAUUUUAUUAUUCUUGGUCUCUCUAAAGGAGACAAUAUAAUUUAUUUUUUAAUAAAGCUAAGACAGAAGUGAUAGAAAUGUUAAUGAUGUUACUUAGGUAAUUUGAAAACUGAACUGUCAGAAUAGCAGUGAAUUACAAAACAAUGCACCACAGUACUUGCUAGGGAAUCCUUAGCAAACAUCCCUUUGGCUUUUGCAAUGUGUUUGAGUUUAAUGCUACUGUGUCAAUUAAGAGGCAUGUUUGUUUUCAUCCCAAAAGGUUUGUUCUAUUUUAAUUGAAAAUCUCAACAAAGCCUUAAAUGCGAAGCAUGCCUUCACAGCAUGCCUUCAAAAAUACUUAUCCAAUAUUCCCUUUGCUUGGCUCUCCAAGAAGAAGUGAAUUUAAAAUGUGAGAAAUUGAAAAUUUCUCUGGUUCUAUGUGAUACUUGGUCUCCUUUUGUGCUGGUUCUCAUGGUGAAAAAAUAGAUCUUUUGAAAGCACACGGUACAUCAGAAAAAUAAGAA